Chinchilla lanigera (long-tailed chinchilla) is the source of this 2440-nucleotide long non-coding RNA. RefSeq lists it as uncharacterized. The record is from RefSeq and is a predicted model, not a curated record. NCBI's taxonomy places the organism in Eukaryota, Metazoa, Chordata, Mammalia, Rodentia, Chinchillidae. The transcript is spliced from 3 exons.
CCAGGUACCAGAGAAAAACAAAAAAAAACAAAAAAAAACAAACAAACAAAAAAAAAGGUUAGUGCACAUAUACAAGCCCACAAUUUCCAGGAUGUGGCAAAGGUACUCCUAACUCCUGAAGCCCUUAGGACCAAUCCAUACAGGCUCCUGAACUUCAAGCAGGGACCUGCAAUUAACUGGAAGCUCUGGGAACCCCUGGUGAAGGACCCCUGGUGAAGUACAGCAAGCCAGGAGUGUCCUGCCAGUGACCCUAACCUGGCUUCCCUCAGGAGAGCCUCAAGAACCCUGAGGUCCCCAGACUGCCUGCAGCAUGUGUUAGGAAGAAUUUGGACUGAAAAUCUCUGCCUUGGUUAGAAACAAAGACAAGAAAUUACCCCUCCCCAAGUAUUAACUGAAACCCCGGUUUUAACCAGAAUACCCUGCCCACAAUCUCCAAGAUGGAGGCAUCAGUAUCAAAGGCCUAACUUCAAGACAGCAAGGUGCGUCAGGGGCCCGGGGCGUGGCUGUUCCCCCUCACCUGUCAUUGAAAGCUAAGUGGAAGAGAACUGCCAGGCUCCUGGAUUGGUGCUGCUGGCCCUUUGGCCAAGCAAUUUAAGGAAAGGAAAAGCAUGUAGGUGGGAAAACAUUCUGGAAACAUUUGCUGCCUCCAGAACCCAAACAACUCUUUCCUUAAACACUUCAUCUCCGAAAGUGCUGGGGAGACCCUUGGCCAGUUUCAAAACCAACACUCACUAAGUCCUGCUGCCCGGGGUGAGGACUUCCCUGAGGAGCGUUUGCUCUGGAACCAAAUGCUCUUCCACUCCAAACAACAGCCAGCAGCACUCGGGACAACAGGGAGGGCUCCAGAUCAAACAAACAUCCUCUUUUCCCCUACCAUGCAGACUUUCUCAAUAAAUUAUUCGCCCACUUCGGAUCAAAGCCUGUUUUUGCAGCCUGUGACCUAAAAAGCAAAUAUCAUCGCUUAAACAUGAAAGCCCUCCUUCCUGCCUGGGUCAGCUUCAUUACUCAUUCGUUCCCCCCUUACAGUUAUUCUGUUGUUAUUUUCCUCCUGUGCUCGGUAGAUGGUUGUACGAGUCCCAACCCGCCUGAGGACGAUGGGACAAGAGGGAUGGUGCGUUCAUUCAGGGCCCUAAGGUGAGAAAGGAAGUCAGGGGCGGGGAGAAAUCAGCAUCCUGGGAACCCGGGAAGCCAGGCCAGCUCCGAUUGGCAACUUUCUGUCUGGUCCUUUUGCCAAAUGUCCUACUAGGAAUUCUACCAGUGAGAAGUCAGUGCCACCCUGGAAGGACGGGCCUGGAGGUCCUACCACCUCCCUGCUCCAGGUACAAAUCUAAACUUAAGGGGUGCAGUCCAACAGCUCAUCCGGGCUUAGAGCUGAGGCUCCUGUUACUGACAGCACAGUCCCUCCUGAGCCCUUUGGGACGGCUCUGGAUACGAACACGACCCUCCUCGAUGACACCCUCCCCCCCACUAACGCCGCCCCUGCAUCAAAGUUUAUGCCUGGGAAUCUCGCAGAAGAUGAACCGGCCAGUGCUAGGCCCAGAGGCGAGGUCGGGAAAACUGCAAAGACCAGGGAUGCCGGGUGCAAUGUGCCCUUGGCAAAAAGAAACCCGGCGCCCCUCCCCCUCCCCUCCCAGCCCCCCGCAAGAGGCCUGCGGCCAAGCUGGUAAAAAGUGCCCCGGCCGGCUGCGGCGGCUAAGGGGAUUAGAGGAAACCUCGCGAGCGCCUCCAGCCUGCCCCCGGAGGCGGUCUGCGGGAGCGCAGGCUGGAGGCGCGCCGGCGUGAUUCCGACCGCGGGAGCCGGGAGGAGGAGCCGGAGGUAGCUGCGGGGGGCUCCGGCCCUGGAGAAGGAAGGGCAAGAGGCGGCUCGGGCCAGGGGCAGCGCCGGGAGACAUCCUCAUCCUCUGGCGGAACAGCUACGAGUCGCCAAGUCCCCUCUCAUUCCUUGGCCGGAGGAGGGGAUGUUUCAGGACCCAGGGAUGGGCGGGAAGGGCCCGUGGGGAGCCAGAAGUCUGCACCCCGGCGGGGAGGAGGCGGGCGGGAGCCGCUCCGCAGGCGCAGGCGAGUGGGUGGGAAAGAGAGAGGGAGGGAGGAAGGAGGUGAGGCCGGGAAGAUGCCUCUGCCGGGGGCGGGGCGCGGCCGGGGAUCCGGCGGAGGGACUGCAGCAGCGCUUGGUGGGGGCGGGGGCUGCAAUGUCACUCGUCGGAGGGUCAGGUGAGUGAGUCCAGGCGGGGUUUGCCACUUGCCGGCACCUUCCCCGCACCACCCAGGGUGUAAGGGCGGAGGCGGAGGGCCGGGGACUGCAGAACCAUCCCCGGAGCGGGACGCGAACCGGCAGAGUUGGGAGAAGAGCCUCUGAGCCCAGGAGCCGAGCAUGCUGCCCCCGCGUGCAGCGCCCGCGUGCACCCAGCCCAGAGAGGGGGCGCAGAGCGGAGGCGAUGGC